RNAcentral lists this ribosomal RNA (403 nucleotides) under uncultured Anaerofilum sp. RNAcentral's name for it is "bacterial SSU rRNA". It matches the Rfam family "Bacterial small subunit ribosomal RNA", at positions 356 to 774 of the family's 1533-position model. The record is from RNAcentral. Lineage: Bacteria; Bacillati; Bacillota; Clostridia; Eubacteriales; Oscillospiraceae.
GGGGGAUAUUGCACAAUGGAGGAAACUCUGAUGCAGCGACGCCGCGUGAGGGAAGAAGGUUUUCGGAUUGUAAACCUCUGUCUUCGGGGACGAAACAAAUGACGGUACUCGAGGAGGAAGCCACGGCUAACUACGUGCCAGCAGCCGCGGUAAUACGUAGGUGGCAAGCGUUGUCCGGAAUUACUGGGUGUAAAGGGAGCGCAGGCGGAACUGCAAGUUGGGUGUUUAAUCUACGGGCUCAACCCGUAUCAGCAUUCAAAACUGUGGUUCUUGAGUAAUGCAGAGGUAGGCGGAAUUCCCGGUGUAGCGGUGGAAUGCGUAGAUAUCAGGAGGAACACCGAUGGCGAAGGCAGGUCACUGGGCCGCAACUGACGCUGAGGAGCGAAAGCAUGGGGAGCGAACA